RNAcentral lists this transfer RNA (71 nucleotides) under Loxodonta africana (African savanna elephant). It matches the Rfam family "tRNA". From Rfam's summary of the family: Transfer RNA (tRNA) molecules are approximately 80 nucleotides in length. Their secondary structure includes four short double-helical elements and three loops (D, anti-codon, and T loops). Further hydrogen bonds mediate the characteristic L-shaped molecular structure. tRNAs have two regions of fundamental functional importance: the anti-codon, which is responsible for specific mRNA codon recognition, and the 3' end, to which the tRNAs corresponding amino acid is attached (by aminoacyl-tRNA synthetases). tRNAs cope with the degeneracy of the genetic code in two manners: having more than one tRNA (with a specific anti-codon) for a particular amino acid; and 'wobble' base-pairing, i.e. permitting non-standard base-pairing at the 3rd anti-codon position. The record is from Rfam by way of RNAcentral. Lineage: Eukaryota; Metazoa; Chordata; Mammalia; Proboscidea; Elephantidae.
GCAGUGGUGGUUCAGUGGUAGAAUUCUUGCCUUCCAUUCAAGAGAUCCGGAUUCAAUUCCUCGCCAUUGCA